UCUUCUCUUGCCUGAUGUUCUGCUGGAGAGAGCCUGAGGGGUCAGGGAUGUGGCAGUUUUCCACCUUGUGCCUCUGUGUACUCACGGCUUCUGUGACUACAGACUCCACAGGAACUUUGCUGGAGCAGAAGCCAAGGUGGCGUCUGGUAGCACGUGGUCAAGCUGUGACCCUGCGCUGUAUCUUGAAGAAUUCCCAGUACCCCUGGAUGAGCUGGUACCAGCAGGAUCUCCAACAGCCACUACAGUGGCUGGUCACUCUGGGGAGUUCUGGGGACAAAGAAGUCAAAUCUCUCCCCGGUGCUGAUUAUCUGGCCACACGAGUCACCGAUACGGAGCUGAGGCUACAAGUGGCCAACAUGACCCAGGGCAGAACCUUGUACUGCACCUGCAGUAGAGACACAGUGGUAGGCUCUGCUGGCGCAUUGGAACAAAAACCACAUACACAGACUGCCCUGCCUUCCAGCCCUUGCUCCUCUGUGAGCCUUUCCCAGCCUUCUUCCUUUCUACCCCGACUCCCUCACCCCGUUGCCCUAGCAAGAAGUGGACUCUCCCUGAUUGACCAUUUGUUCUUUUUCUGCCUGAGCCAUACAGUAGCUUAA
Molecule: non-coding RNA, 599 nt
Organism: Peromyscus maniculatus bairdii (prairie deer mouse)
Lineage: Eukaryota; Metazoa; Chordata; Mammalia; Rodentia; Cricetidae
Source: the annotation of a RefSeq genome assembly